Small nuclear RNA from Sciurus vulgaris (Eurasian red squirrel), 111 nucleotides. Its record names the gene U2. It matches the Rfam family "U2 spliceosomal RNA". From Rfam's summary of the family: U2 is a small nuclear RNA (snRNA) component of the spliceosome (involved in pre-mRNA splicing). Lineage: Eukaryota; Metazoa; Chordata; Mammalia; Rodentia; Sciuridae. The record is from Ensembl.
AUAGAUUUUUGGCCUUUGGGCUAAGAUCAAGGGUAGUAUCUGUUCUUAACAGCUUGGAUGAUUAGAACAUCAGGCUUGGAUGAUUAAAGAGUUUUCUAGGUCUUACAUAAA